This 253-nucleotide ribosomal RNA is filed under the name uncultured bacterium. RNAcentral describes it as "partial 16S ribosomal RNA". It matches the Rfam family "Bacterial small subunit ribosomal RNA", at positions 524 to 776 of the family's 1533-position model. The record is from RNAcentral.
UACGUAGGGUGCAAGCGUUAUUCGGAAUUACUGGGCGUAAAGCGUGCGCAGGCGGUUUUGUAAGUCUGAUGUGAAAUUCCGGGGCUCAACCUGGGAAUUGCCGUGGAGACUGCCAGGCUAGAAUCUGGCAGAGGGGGGUAGAAUUCCACGUGUAGCAGUGAAAUGCGUAGAGAUGUGGAGGAACACCGAUGGCGAAGGCAGCCCCCUGGGUCAAGAUUGACGCUCAUGCACGAAAGCGUGGGGAGCAAACAGG